Molecule: long non-coding RNA, 308 nt
Filed under: Bos taurus (domestic cattle)
Lineage: Eukaryota; Metazoa; Chordata; Mammalia; Artiodactyla; Bovidae
Description: long non-coding RNA NONBTAT008298
Source: RNAcentral
AUGGUCCCGGUCUUGGAGCUCGCCUGCAUCUAUUCAGCCCUCAUUCUGCACAACAAUGAGGUGAUGGUCAUGGAGAAUAAGAUCAAUGCCCUCAUUAAAGCAGCUGGUAUAAAUGUUGAGCUUUUCUGCCAGGCUUGUUUGCAAAAGCUUUGGCCAAUGUCAACAUCAGGAGCCUCAUCUGUAUGGUAGGGGCUGGUGGACCUAUCCUGUCCACCACUGCUGCCCCAGCUGAGGAGAAAAAAGUAGAAGCAAAGAAAGAAGAAUCUGAAGAGUCUGAUGAUGACAUGGGCUUUGGUCUUUUUGACUAA